Molecule: ribosomal RNA, 609 nt
Filed under: Fusarium oxysporum
Lineage: Eukaryota; Fungi; Ascomycota; Sordariomycetes; Hypocreales; Nectriaceae
Description: eukaryotic LSU rRNA
Rfam family: 5.8S ribosomal RNA (bases 171-324)
Source: RNAcentral
CCCUCGCGGGGGGGGACACACUGACCCCAAUGUAUGUAGCUAUUUCACCAGCUCGCGUAGGAAUCGCAGCCCUCAGCGUGUCCCGCGUGAAGACCUGUGCUACGGUCCCGCCCCAGGACCCUAUACUCUGUUUCUACCUGUAACUUCUGAGUAAAACCGUGCCUGCGUCAAAACUUUCUCAAUGGAUAUCUUGGUGCGGACUGCGAUGAAAAACGCAUCAAAAUGCCUUUAGUAAUGUGAAUUGCAGAAUUCCGUGACUCAUCGAAACUUUGAACGCAGAUUGCGCCCGCCUGUAUUCUGGAGGGCAUGCCAGUUCGAGCGUCAUUUCACCCUCUGCCACCGUUGGUAGUUGGGACUCGCGUUAAGUCGCGUUCCUCAGAUUGAUUGACGGUCACGUCGAGCUUCCUUAGCGGAGUAGUAAAACCCUCGUUACUGGUCGUCGUCGCGGCCACCCCCUUAAACCCCAACUUCUGAAUGCUGACCUCGCAUCACGGAGGAAUACCCAGCUGAACUUAGCCACAUCAAUAACGCGGUAGGAGACGCUUCUAUACCGGCUUCGGAUGGGAGCACAACUCUUAUGACAUCCUGACCUCCUCAAUAAGGAUCAUG